GAGCUAAAGGUGGAUUUCUUGGAAAUGGCAGGCUAUGAAGGACGUGCUAAUCUGCGAUAAGCUAGGGGUAGUCGAUAAGGGACUCUUAUCCCUAGAUCUCCGAAUGUAGAAAUAUGAUAUUUCGAAAGAUUUAUCAUUCAACAGCCAAUACAUAACUGUUGAAAGCGAACCUCGCGAAGUGAAACAUCUCAGUAGCGAGAGGAAAAGAAAACGAAUGUGAUUCCCUAAGUAGUGGUGAGCGAAAGGGGAGUAGGCCAAACCUGCUUCGGCAGGGGUUGUAGGACACUCUUUUAACUCUAAAUUUAUAGGAGAAGUUUUUGGAAAAAAACGGCGUAGAGGGCGAACCCCCCGUAUCCGAAAUGAAUUUAGAGCUUGAGUGUAUCCUGAGUAGGGCGGGACACGUGUAAUCCUGUCUGAAUCUGCCCAGACCAUUGG
Molecule: ribosomal RNA, 435 nt
Filed under: Candidatus Mycoplasma haematobovis
Lineage: Bacteria; Bacillati; Mycoplasmatota; Mollicutes; Mycoplasmatales; Mycoplasmataceae
Description: bacterial LSU rRNA
Rfam family: Bacterial large subunit ribosomal RNA
Source: RNAcentral